Molecule: non-coding RNA, 801 nt
Filed under: Platynereis sp. 2 PA-2020
Lineage: Eukaryota; Metazoa; Annelida; Polychaeta; Phyllodocida; Nereididae
Source: RNAcentral
UAGUUUGAUUUUGGCUACUUUAUUGACUAUAAUAAAAUAUAAUACAUGCAAUCUUCCGAUUACCCGUGAAACGACUUCUCCCCUUAAAGCAUUAAUCUAAUUAUCAAUGGAUAAGUAUCACUAAUCUCCAGUUUCACGCCUGCAGUAAAGCAUUUUGCCCUAAAUUAAACUUAUAUUACAGAUAUUAUAUUAAGUACUGACAAAAUUCGUGCCAGCCGUCGCGGUUAAACGAUAAGUACAAGCCAAUAAUUUUACGGAGAUGUAUUGAUAUAAAUUAAAUAUUAUAGUGGUACAAUACGUAUAAUAAAAUAAAACUUAUAAAUAUCCCACUUUAACAAAAGAAUAAACAAAAACACGGAUUAGAUACCCUUUUAUCUUAUUCCUUCACCUCCUCUCCGGGCACUACGAACCCAUGUUUAAAACCUAAAAAAAUUGGCGGCACUUUAUGCUAUUAGGGGAAUCUGUCACAUCAUUCGCCAAUCCACGUUAAACCCCUCUUGUUAUAGAACUCAGCUUGUAUACCGCCGCCGCAAGCCAGCAUUAAGUUAAAAUCGCUGGCAAUAAAGACUUUUCUCUUGGACGCCAGGUCAAUGUGCAGCCUAUUAACAAGUUUAGAUGGAUUACAUUAAAUAUAAAACAGGUUGACAGUCAACAAUUUCUGUCAUAAUUCGGACUUAACAGUAAAAUACUAAUAGUAUGAGUAAUUGAACCCGCAAUUUAAAGUGUGCACAAAUCGCCCGUCACUCUCACCGAAAGGCGAGAUAAGUCGUAACAUAGUAGGCGUAACUGAAGUUGUGCCUU